AAGUCGUAACAAGGUUUCCGUAGGUGAACCUGCGGAAGGAUCAUUACCGUUCCAUCUUCAACUCGCCGCAGGACCCCACGCAAGUGGCCAGAAAUGCGGUGAGGCGAAGCCACCCUUGCCUAUGAGUACCUUUUGUUCCCUCGGCGGGCUCGCGCCCGUCGCAGGGCCCAACCAAAACCCCUUUGCAGUAGCAGUAUACCUCUGAUUGUGGGCACUUGAAUCUUUACAACUUUCAACAACGGAUCUCUUGGUUCUG
RNAcentral lists this unclassified non-coding RNA (256 nucleotides) under fungal sp. RNAcentral describes it as "partial internal transcribed spacer region". The stretch from base 1 to 46 matches the Rfam family "Eukaryotic small subunit ribosomal RNA", at positions 1786 to 1831 of the family's 1831-position model. The record is from RNAcentral. Lineage: Eukaryota; Fungi.